GGGAAGAGAAUUAAAAUACAUUGUGCUGUUCAGGCGACAGCCAUUACAAAAGCCACAACUGUCCAUAAAUAUCCUGGGAGAAACAGAUUGUCUUCUCUCACAGUAAAUAAGAGAGAAAACCUUGUCAGGUUGGAGGAGUAAAGAAAAGAGGCUUCUCAGGCUCAUCUCCCUGUCUUUGGGUUGUGCUAUGAACUGUUGUACCAGGCAACCCAAAAAGGCACUUUCAGCAGUAAUUUAUUGUGUGUGUGUUGGAAGCUUAGCAUUUUUUCCAUCUUGCUUUUGCCUUUUUUCUCCACAUUCUAGUGUCGGGCAGGUGCCUGGGCGCAGAGCCACAGCCAGAUGCUGUUCCCCACCCCAAUCCCUAACCCCAGGGGUGCCGUGCUGCUGCCCUCACCCCUCGCUCAGGGGAGGGUAAAGUCUGUGUGGCACUAAGUCAGCCAGACACCUGCAGGCCAUCUCUUCAGCUCAGUGCUUUUCCUUUGUGCCUCCAUGCUUUACAGAAGAAAGCCAUGCUAAGUGCAUAAACGAACAACAGGAAAGCAGCUGUUCAUUUAUUUAUUUAUUUACUUAUUUUGGUAAAUAAUGCUUGCAAAAACAGCAGCUUGCCAACCAGCCGUGACCAUCAUGGUUUCCUUCCUUUCCUCGCAAGCAAGGCUGAAACCUUUCCUUUGUAAACCCCGCACAGGUUUGUACAUCUCUCCUUGACGCGAGCUGGGACAACCUGAGCCGCGACCAAAAGGGCCAUGAGGGAAGGGCAUGAGGGAAGGACAGCGGCUCGGCACGGCCCGGCACGGCUCCCAACACCUCCGGGAACUCUCUCCCGGCUGCCAAGCGGGGAAACCCCCGGUAUCCCCGCGGCCUCCGGGCCAGGAGGCGCCUGCCGGGGCCGCCAGGGGUCGCCGCAGCGGGGCGGCCGCUUCAAAGCGGGCGGGCGGCAGCAAAUGGCGCCCGCCCCCGCCCCACCCCGCUCCACCUCACGCCGGAGAAAAGCCCGGGAGCGGCGCUCGCCUCACGCACCGAGGAGGAGACCAUGCCUGGGGUGGCGGCGGUGGAGGAGGUGGUGGCGGCUCUGGUGGCGGUGCCCGGCCGCGGCUCCACGGGAUAGCGCCGCGCACCUCGCCACCCUUCCCGGCCGAGGCUGGAGCGGCGCGGCUUGUCUAACUCUACCUUGA
RNAcentral lists this long non-coding RNA (1172 nucleotides) under Cairina moschata (Muscovy duck). RNAcentral describes it as "domestica (muscovy Duck (domestic type)) lncRNA (ENSCMMG00000017260.1)". The record is from RNAcentral. Lineage: Eukaryota; Metazoa; Chordata; Aves; Anseriformes; Anatidae.